GAUGAACGCUGGCGGCGUGCCUAAUACAUGCAAGUCGAGCGAACAGAUGAGGAGCUUGCUCCUCUGACGUUAGCGGCGGACGGGUGAGUAACACGUGGAUAACCUACCUAUAAGACUGGGAUAACUUCGGGAAACCGGAGCUAAUACCGGAUAAUAUAUUGAACCGCAUGGUUCAAUAGUGAAAGACGGUUUUGCUGUCACUUAUAGAUGGAUCCGCGCCGCAUUAGCUAGUUGGUAAGGUAACGGCUUACCAAGGCGACGAUGCGUAGCCGACCUGAGAGGGGUGUCGGCCAACUCGGAAAUGAAGCAAGGUCCCAACUCCUAACGGAAGGCACAGUUGGGGAACCUCCCGAAUUGGCCGAAGCCUUGCCGAGCCACCGCGCGUUGGUUGAGGAAGGUCUUGGAUCCUUAAACUCUUGUUUUAGGGAAGGACCAAUGUUUUAGUAACUUAGCCCCUCUUGGAGGUUACUAAUCAGAAAGCCACGGCUAACUACGUG
Molecule: ribosomal RNA, 497 nt
Filed under: uncultured bacterium
Lineage: Bacteria
Description: partial 16S ribosomal RNA
Rfam family: Bacterial small subunit ribosomal RNA
Source: RNAcentral